GAACCGCGGCCGGAGCCCGAGCUGGAGCUCGAGCUCGAGCCCGAGCCGCCGCAGCCGCGGAGCAUGGGCGCCGGCGCUGUACGAUGAAGCACCCAGCGAGUCCGGGGGGCUAAAGCCGUGAGGUCCAGCAGGUUGUGCUGGGUGCCCAGAAAUAUGAGAGGUUCACACUCUUCACACUCACAACAGGAUUAUGUGAGCUAUUACUCUGGUGUUUUUCCUCAGAAAGUUUUUUUUGGGGUACUGGGGAUUGAACUCAGGACCUUGUGCUUGGGAGGCAAGUGGCAGAACCACUGAGCCAAAUCCCCAGCCCCCUCAAAGUUUUUGACCCAGUUUAGUAGAAAUCUUGCGCAUUAGAGUCAGCUCUGAGAAACUUUGGUUUCUUGAAGUAAUCUAGAGGAUAAAGUUCUGCCAUACUUCAAAUGAUGUUAGCUUCUUUUGGACACAAAUCCCUUAGGGACUGUGAACACUAUGAAUUCCCUCCCCGUAAACAUAGAACAUGUGUGUAGAACAAAUUUUGCAUGCAUGGAGAUAUUAAAAGCCCUUGGCUUAAAAUAAUGAGAUGCAAGGUUUUGAAGAAGAGAAAGUUCGAAAGGGAGUUUGCUGCUGGUGCAGAGUCCAGUUUUUGUUGGAGGGCUGAGGCAGGCCUUAGUUUGAGAAAGGUGCCUUGUGGCUUGUUGGUCAGAUUUAGCAGGGCAGGAACCUGCCAGGCAGGCCUCAUUUUGAAGGGUUAUACAGUCCAACAAAGUGCUUCCAAAAAGUGCAACUCCCACUCUCCUCAGGUGUGGGUAUCCACACUUUCCUGUAAGGAUCUUUUUGAAGAACUUAUUUUUGUUUGCAGACAGUACUAUCUGGAUUUAUUUCCCAGUACAGCCUUUGACCUUGUGGGUGCUUUAGAGCCUGAUGUUAAUUUGUUAGGUAAUUUUUUUUUGUUAGUUAUGGAAGAGGGAUUGUAUGCUUGUGUCAUACAUAACAUGAUUUCAGAAUAAAAUGCAUGUUUUUGUGAAAGUAUAUUGUGAAAACCACAUAUAUUAGAUUUGUGUCCUGCUUUGUAGUCUUGUGCUGUACUUUCCCAUGGGCCUCCUGUGGUCUGGGAGCAGAGUGAUUGUGGCACAAAGCCAGGCCUGGAGCCACAGAUCUGGGGCCCAGAGACCUUGUGGCAGCAGCUCUUUGAUUUAGAGGGUAUCCUAUGGAGGAGGCUUUAUUUAUCUGGUAAAGAUCUAAGUGACUACCACCCAGGACUAUUCCACCCUUUUCCACAAGGGUUCUUUUCCUGAAGGAUCCUUUUCCUCUUCUCCUCUGCUCUCCUGUUACAAUAUUACAUCCAAAAUACUAGCCACAGAUUGUGCCAAGAUAAACAUUCCUCACCUGAGGUGGUUCUUGUUCAAAGGACCAUAUGAGUACAAAUAGGGGCCAUGGCACUGUGUGGAGGAGACCCCACAGUGAAAAGGACAGCCCUGGAACUUGCAACUGUUCCUGCUGAUGGUGCUACAACAUCACAGGCUCCUGCAGAAGCUACAAUAAAGAGUUAAUAAAAUGGCACAUUACCUAGUGUUUCUAUUACUGAGAAACUUUGACUUUUAUGUUAGUUUUUUAGUGAAAAGCAUUUAUUUAAAUCAGAAAAUUCUAUAUAUUCCAUUAAAAAUAUUUUAGUGUAAUCUCAUCUGUCAAUCUUCAUAACAAAGUCUAUAUUCAGAGUUACUUUUGAACAUUUCUAAAAUACAUCAAUUUCAAAUCACAUCUCUUGAGGAUAAUUUGAAAAAGUAGAAACCAAGAACUGGGCCGGGGAUUUAGCUCAGUGCUUCCACCACCUGCCUCGCAAGCACAAGGACCAGAGUUCAAUCCCUAGCACCCCCCUCCUCCCAAAAAAGAAACCAAGAACUGAGAAUAAAACAUAUGGAUAAGCUGAAUGGUGAUUAGGAGUCUCCAUAGCUAUACAGUUUAGAAAGAUAAAGAGAGAUAAAGAACAUUUAUGCCUUAGAAUCACACCCUUAAAUCAAUCAGGAAAGAAAGGAGAUGGGACAGGUUUCAAAAGAUUUGACGGGCUAAGGUUGGGCUAAAUGAGGAGUAGGUGAAAGUCCCCAUCCACCAAAAUGUAAUCAAUAAAAUUUGUUCAAAGUCUUUUCACAUUCAGGUAUCUGAAAGACUACAUUUAUGGGACACAGAUGGGGACAGGAGCUAAUACAGACCACAAAUAGAAAAGAGAACACUAUAACCAAGGGAAACAUAAAAUGUUGUAGCUUCACUCGCUUUUUCAAUUAUUUAUAGUGCCGGAGACUGAACCCAGGGCCUUCGUACUGAGUCCCAUUUUUAUUUUAAGACAGUCUCCCUAAAUCAUUAAGUUGCCCAAGCUGGGCUCAAACUUUUGA
This is a long non-coding RNA of Heterocephalus glaber (naked mole-rat), 2366 nucleotides long. NCBI's taxonomy places the organism in Eukaryota, Metazoa, Chordata, Mammalia, Rodentia, Bathyergidae. The record is from Ensembl.